RNAcentral lists this ribosomal RNA (329 nucleotides) under uncultured Oscillospiraceae bacterium. RNAcentral's name for it is "partial 16S ribosomal RNA". The record is from RNAcentral. Lineage: Bacteria; Bacillati; Bacillota; Clostridia; Eubacteriales; Oscillospiraceae.
GGAGUCUGGGCCGUAUCUCAGUCCCAAUGUGGCCGUUCAACCUCUCAGUCCGGCUACUGAUCGUUGCCUUGGUGGGCUGUUACCCCGCCAACAAGCUAAUCAGAUAUGAGUCCAUCUUUCAGCGGAUUGCUCCUUUGGUAUCCAGGUGAUGCCACCCAAAUACAUUAUGCGGUAUUAGCAGUCGUUUCCAACUGUUGUCCCCCUCUGAAAGGCAGGUUGCUCAUACAUUACUCACCCGUCCGCCACUAAGUCAUACCCGGCUUCGACGAAUCUCCGUCAGAUAUGCUUCGUUCGACUUGCAUGUGUUAAGCCUGUAGCUAGCGUUCAUC